AUGUAGAAUAUGAAUGUAUCAUGGGAUGAACGGAAUGAAGUGACCGAAGUCACAAAAUUGAGUAUUUGGAAACAAGUGACUGAAUAAGUAAUGUUUGAAGUCGAAAGGUGAAAGUGUAUUGGAAUCCAUAAGAGAAAUGAGAUUUCUACCAUAGAGGGAAACAACUUUAACCGCUACAGGGUGUUAGCUAAAAAUAAGGAAUUAAAUGUUUGGGUUAAGGGCCAAACAACUCUAGGUAGAAAUGCGGACUAUUCAU
Molecule: long non-coding RNA, 256 nt
Filed under: Lathyrus oleraceus (garden pea)
Lineage: Eukaryota; Viridiplantae; Streptophyta; Magnoliopsida; Fabales; Fabaceae
Description: Pisum sativum (pea) long non-coding RNA (PSAT_LNC018761)
Source: RNAcentral